This 688-nucleotide ribosomal RNA is filed under the name Creaserinus limulus. RNAcentral's name for it is "partial 28S large subunit ribosomal RNA". The stretch from base 258 to 688 matches the Rfam family "Eukaryotic large subunit ribosomal RNA", at positions 665 to 880 of the family's 3401-position model. Lineage: Eukaryota; Metazoa; Arthropoda; Malacostraca; Decapoda; Cambaridae. The record is from RNAcentral.
CGCCGGCGUCGGCGGGCGUAUUUCGCCUCACAGUAGGUCGCCGCGACCCGUUGCUUUUGGGGACGUCGAAGGCCCGGACGGAUUGGUACCCUACCGGCUGGGGAUGCGGCUUCGGCUUCUCCUCUUGUCCGGUGGGCGAAACCGCCGGUGUCCUGGCUGCCCUGCGACGGUCGUAGAGACGAGCCCUCCCCUUCGGGGGGGCGGCUCUCGCGGCGUGCAAAAGGUCGGUGAUCCACCCGACCCGUCUUGAAACACGGACCAAGGAGUCUAACAUGUGUGCGAGUCAGUGGGCGCACUAAACCCAGAGGCGUAAUGAAAGUGACACGGGUUCGGCUGUCGCCUCGUGUGGCAGCCGGACUCAGGGCCGAUCCCUCACCGGUUGCCCUCGCCUUCUCUCCCGCGUCUCGGUAAGCCGGGUGAGCUAUUUUCCCCGGCCGCUGCUGCGGGGCGCGGGGGGAGGCGGGGUGCGAUGGUGUCCGUAAAAAAGAGCCUGCUGUUGCAGGGGGGCGCAGGCCCGGGACUUGCCAGGACGCCGCGAGACUGUCACUUUGCUGUGAGGCUCUCGGGCCGAUCAGCGGGUCAUGCGUGCAGUCGGCAAGUACCAUGAGCAGACAUGUUGGGACCCGAAAGAUGGUGAACUAUGCCUGGCCAGGAUGAAGCCAGAGGAAACUCUGGUGGAGGUCCGUAG